This is a small nucleolar RNA of Dioscorea cayenensis subsp. rotundata (Guinea yam), 107 nucleotides long. Lineage: Eukaryota; Viridiplantae; Streptophyta; Magnoliopsida; Dioscoreales; Dioscoreaceae. The record is from RefSeq and is a predicted model, not a curated record.
AAUCCGUGUCAUGGACAUUUUCGCAAGAGAUCCUUGAAUCGCUCCCAUGUGUCAAACAAAGAUUCAAGCUCCAUCUGAACAAACGGCGAUAUCUCAUUAUGAAGCUU